UACAGAGGUCUCAAGCGUUGUUCGGAUUCAUUGGGCGUAAAGGGUGCGUAGGCGGCGCGGUAAGUCGGGUGUGAAAUCUCGGAGCUUAACUCCGAAACUGCAUUCGAUACUGCCGUGCUUGAGGACUGGAGAGGAGACUGGAAUUUACGGUGUAGAGGUGAAAUUCGUAGAUAUUCGCAAGAACACCAGUGGCGAAGGCGGCUCACUGGCCCGAUACUGACGCUGAGGUGCGAAAGCGUGGGGAGCAAACAGG
RNAcentral lists this ribosomal RNA (253 nucleotides) under uncultured bacterium. RNAcentral describes it as "partial 16S ribosomal RNA". It matches the Rfam family "Bacterial small subunit ribosomal RNA", at positions 524 to 776 of the family's 1533-position model. The record is from RNAcentral.